Molecule: long non-coding RNA, 1600 nt
Organism: Homo sapiens (human)
Lineage: Eukaryota; Metazoa; Chordata; Mammalia; Primates; Hominidae
Source: Ensembl
AGAGCUGAGUUGAAGAUUGCAAGCGACCUAUUCCGAGCUGGGUGAGCAAAGGAAACUACGCAUUUAGAAUCACAGUUUACCUCGCUUCAUACUGAUCUGUGCUCUGGAGGACGUGCAGUUUCUGUUACAUGUGAUCCAGGGGGCUGCGUGUGUUGGAUUAACCGGGCUCAUUACGUCUUACAAAUUGCUUGUCAGGAGAAGGCAGCUCGGGGCAGGUUGAAAGACUGUUAUCAGCAGCACUCAACAAACAUCAGCGAACGGACACUCUCUUCUUCAUCAUAACCAAUUUGUAUUUAUGAAAGAUCCCUUGGUGCUCUUUAGUGGGCUGCAGUGAGAAGAUGUGAUUUGGAACUUUGAGAAGUUUGUGGUCAAGAAGGUGACCUGCAGAUAUUCAGUCAAAACUAAACAACCACAGCCACACUUCUCUGCGUUCCUGCUUCAUCCACUCAUUGUGCCCAGGGCUCCCCAGCAAUCUCUCCGCUCUUUAGUCUUUUGGUUUGUGUCUGCUUUCUUCUUCUAGAAUGCAGUGAAGGUGACCUUCUGGAUUUCUGAGCCUGGGCCUGGCAACUUCUGCUUCACUUCUUGGGAGCCAGCUGCUAUGUAAAGAAGACUGAGCAAGACAGCUGAAAGAUAUGUAGAGAGAGAAGCCAAGACAGUGCCCAGCUAUCCCAGUCACACCCACAGACUCACCACAUGUAUGAGUGAAGCCAUCUUGGACUUUCCAGCUGAGCUCCCAGCUAAAGGCAGCUGCAAGGGUGAUCCCAGCUGAUGCCAUGUGAAACAGAAGAACCAUCCACCUGAGCCCAGCCAAGUAUCUGAAGCUACAUAUGCCAGAGUCCCCCUGCUUGGGAUGGAGGAGAGCUGUUUUACUCCCAACACAGUCCAGACAAGGCUAACCAUGACACAGCAAGAAGGCAGCCGUCUGCAAGCCAGGGAGAUGGACCUCUCCAGAUCCAGAACAUGCCGGCAUCCUCAUCACAAACUUCUAACCUCCAGAACGAUCCUCUUCUUCCUAUAGAAUACUUCUGGUGACAAAAGAACCUAUCACUCUUCUCUGGGAUUGAGAUCUUGUGGUAAUAUUCUAAUUGUUUUUCUAAACAUUUUCUAAUUAUUUUUCUAAAUAUUUUUAUUUCAUUAUCACUGUAACUUUUAAAAACUGUUUUUAUUGUGUCUCUGGAGGAAAAUAAUUACACAGUAUACAGUACUGUAAAUAUGCUGUGAAGCUCCAAUUAUAACUAAAAAGACUGUAUAUAUGUGUGUCUGUGUGUCUGUGCGUGUGUGUGUGUGUGUGUGUGUCUGUGAUUAAAAAGAAUUAUGCCUUUCAUGGAUUGUCUUCAACAAUUACUCUGAAGCUUUUUUCACCAGUUAGUUUUUACAAUUCAGUUUUGUAUCAUGCUACAUUUUCCAGUAUAAAAUCAGUUUAUAAAAAACUUAUUUUACAAUGAACACUCAUAUGCCUACUGCCUAGAUUCUGCUUCUAAUGUUUUACUCUACUUGUCUUUAACACAUAUCUAUUCAGUUUCUUUUACUGAUCUCAUCCUUUAAUCCAUCUUAACUUUUGAUGCAUUCCAAAAUAAACUGCAGACAUCAGAACACUUCC